AACGAACGCUGGCGGCAUGCCUAACACAUGCAAGUCGAACGAGACCUUCGGGUCUAGUGGCGCACGGGUGCGUAACGCGGGGGAACCUGCCCUUAGGUUCGGAAUAACUCCCCGAAAGGGGUGCUAAUACCGGAUAAUGUCUUCGGACCAAAGAUUUAUCGCCUUUGGAUGGGCCCGCGUUGGAUUAGCUAGUUGGUAGGGUAAAAGCCUACCAAGGCGACGAUCCAUAGCUGGUCUGAGAGGAUGAUCAGCCACACUGGGACUGAGACACGGCCCAGACUCCUACGAGAGGCAGGAGUGGGGAAUAUUGGAAAAGGGGCGAAAGCCUGAUCCAGCAAUGGCGCGUGAGUGAUGAAGGCCUUAGGGUUGUAAAGCUCUUUUACCCGGGAAGAUAAUGACAGUACCGGGAGAAUAAGCUCCGGCUAACUCCGUG
RNAcentral lists this ribosomal RNA (433 nucleotides) under uncultured bacterium. Its description in RNAcentral is "partial 16S ribosomal RNA". It matches the Rfam family "Bacterial small subunit ribosomal RNA", at positions 29 to 507 of the family's 1533-position model. The record is from RNAcentral.